RNAcentral lists this long non-coding RNA (987 nucleotides) under Mustela putorius furo (domestic ferret). RNAcentral describes it as "lncRNA (ENSMPUG00000025132.1)". Lineage: Eukaryota; Metazoa; Chordata; Mammalia; Carnivora; Mustelidae. The record is from RNAcentral.
AUGUGUAUCUCCAGGCCAGACCCGGAUCCCGCACCCCAGAGGUCUUCAUCCAGCUACCUGCGAGAGAGUUUGAUAAAAACAAGAGGCGUGAGAAAGUCAUUCCCAUUGGUUAGCAGAAUCACGGACCUGGGCCAGAACCACUCUUCUGUCCAUUCCCAGCUCCUCAGAUGCCUCCACGCUCAGCAUGGAGUUUGCUUGGAAGAUGCCCUCUGUCUGCCCCUCCCCCCACUCAACAACUUGCUUUCUCUCUCUCUCUCAAAUAAAUAAAUAAAUACCACCCCCAAAAAAAGUCCUUUCUCACCAGCUAUUUUGGGACAUUUUUCGCUUAAGAUUUUUUCCUGCAAAGUUUCUGUUGCCAUGUAGUUACCAAUUUUAAUAAGAUGUCAUCAUCAAGAUAAGUGAUUUCAGUAAGCCUUAUUCAGAAAUUCUAAAAGGACUGUUCUUCGGACUGAACCAGCUAGUGUCCCUAGGGUCAAUAGAGUCUUGAUUUUUUUUUUUUUAAUGAAAUCAUCUAGCCUUCUCCAAGCCUCAAAAUAGGCUUUUCCAGUAGACAAUAUGCUCUUCUACCUUUAGAAUAGAACUUCUUACUGACACCUUUGCAAGCUUGCUCUACGAUACCAACCCGUGGAGGCAAAUUGAAAAUUUGGUUAAAACAAUCAUUUGGUUUAAGCCCCAAAGCUUUAGAGAUGAGAUGAGGUUCAGAAAAGGACUUGCCCAAGGUCUCACUUCACAGCAGAAGCAGAAUGACAACCUGCCUAGAAUGCAACCCGGUGCUUUUGCCAACAUGUCUCUUGACAGAGCAAAAUCUUAGUAAAACAAGUCAUUCUCUCUAACGUGUUAAGGCUCUUCAUUUCUAAAGUCUUUAUGAAGGUUCUAUUCAAAACUCCUGACCACCAGCAGAAAAAAAUGACACUUUUUAAAUGGCAAAAGAAGUAUAGCAAGCCAGACUGAGGAUUCAAAAAUCAUCCUUUGAUGUGUGAAGCCACU